Molecule: non-coding RNA, 73 nt
Organism: Potamilus streckersoni
Lineage: Eukaryota; Metazoa; Mollusca; Bivalvia; Unionida; Unionidae
Source: the annotation of a GenBank genome assembly
GCUCUGAUGGCCUAGUGGUUAGAGCGUCCGCCUCAGAUGUGGGAAAUCGUAGGUUCGAUUCCCGGUCGGGUCA